AUCAGCUGCGAUAGUACGUUGAAUGUGCCUGUUCGCAAUUCUUCAUUGAAGUUGAGCAACGUUGCGCAGGGUUGGUAUCCGGAUGGGUGACCAUUUGGGCAAUAGCGUGCUGCUGACU
Molecule: ribosomal RNA, 118 nt
Filed under: Diaphorina citri (Asian citrus psyllid)
Lineage: Eukaryota; Metazoa; Arthropoda; Insecta; Hemiptera; Psyllidae
Source: RNAcentral